Molecule: transfer RNA, 70 nt
Filed under: Roseimicrobium gellanilyticum
Lineage: Bacteria; Pseudomonadati; Verrucomicrobiota; Verrucomicrobiia; Verrucomicrobiales; Verrucomicrobiaceae
Description: tRNA-Cys
Source: RNAcentral
GCGCGAAAGGUAAAGUAGCCGAGCCACCGGACUGCAAAUCCGGCUUACCCAGUGCAAGUCUGGGUCGCGC